This 542-nucleotide ribosomal RNA is filed under the name Lasiodiplodia theobromae. RNAcentral describes it as "eukaryotic LSU rRNA". The stretch from base 174 to 328 matches the Rfam family "5.8S ribosomal RNA". Lineage: Eukaryota; Fungi; Ascomycota; Dothideomycetes; Botryosphaeriales; Botryosphaeriaceae. The record is from RNAcentral.
CCCUUCCGUAGGGUGAACCUGCGGAAGGAUCAUUACCGAGUUUUCGGGCUUCGGCUCGACUCUCCCACCCUUUGUGAACGUACUUCUGUUGCUUUGGCGGCUCCGGCCGCCAAAGGACCUCCAAACUCCAGUCAAGUAAACGCAGACGUCUGAUAAACAAGUUAAUAAACUAAAACUUUCAACAACGGAUCUCUUGGUUCUGGCAUCGAUGAAGAACGCAGCGAAAUGCGAUAAGUAAUGUGAAUUGCAGAAUUCAAGUGAAUCAUCGAAUCUUUGAACGCACAUUGCGCCCCUUGGUAUUCCGGGGGGCAUGCCUGUUCGAGCGUCAAUUACAACCCUCAAGCUCUGCUUGGAAUUGGGCACCGUCCUCACUGCGGACGCGCCUCAAAGACCUCGGCGGUGGCUGUUCAGCCCCUCAAGCGUAGUAGAAUACACCUCGCUUUGGAGUGGUUGGCGUCGCCCGCCGGACGAACCUUCUGAACUUUUCUCAAGGUUGACCUCCGGAUCAGGUAUGAAUAACCUCGGUUAAAAGGUUUAAAGGG